UUUCCGUAGGUGAACCUGCGGAAGGAUCAUUAAUGAAUGAAUGUAGAGUCGGUUGUAGCUGGCCUCCCCGGAGGCAUGUGCACGCCUUCUCUUUCAUCCACACACCCCUGUGCACUCGUGAGACAGAGGCGUUGCUUCCCUUUAAUUAGAGAACAGGUCUCUGUCUACUUUCACAUAAAAUCUAAUUUUAUUUAAAACUGAAUGUAAUUUGAUGUAACGCAUCUAAUACAAAGUUUCAACAACGGAUCUCUUGGCUCUCGCAUCGAUGAAGAACGCAGC
RNAcentral lists this unclassified non-coding RNA (279 nucleotides) under uncultured fungus. RNAcentral's name for it is "sequence contains ITS1, 5.8S rRNA gene". The stretch from base 231 to 279 matches the Rfam family "5.8S ribosomal RNA", at positions 1 to 49 of the family's 154-position model. The record is from RNAcentral. Lineage: Eukaryota; Fungi.